This 227-nucleotide long non-coding RNA is filed under the name Ananas comosus (pineapple). RNAcentral's name for it is "long non-coding RNA (ACOM_LNC025736)". The record is from RNAcentral. Lineage: Eukaryota; Viridiplantae; Streptophyta; Magnoliopsida; Poales; Bromeliaceae.
AGGCACUUGAUCUAUCUCUUCAUUAAAAUACAUAUCAUUCCCAUGUGAUUUGCGAAUAAAAUUAUGAACUACACAACAUGCCAUAGCAAUUAUGCACUGUACUUUAUAUGGAAACGAUGUUCCGUGAUUUAGAAUCUUAAACUGCUUAUUUAAUAUAUCGAAAGUUUUUUCGACGACAUUUCUCAACUGAGCAUAUCGAUGAUAAUAGAGAUCUUUGGGGUUGCAAU